Molecule: non-coding RNA, 73 nt
Organism: Cydia strobilella
Lineage: Eukaryota; Metazoa; Arthropoda; Insecta; Lepidoptera; Tortricidae
Source: the annotation of a RefSeq genome assembly
GGUCUGCUGGCGGAAUUGGUAACGCAUUGGACCAACAAUCCAAAGGAUGUGGGUUCGAGUCCCACGUUGGCCA